CAUCUCCACUCGGGGGUCCUCUCCGAGUUGACUUCCCUCCUCCCAGACACUGUCUCCACCAAACUUGGUCCCACAUGGAGGACAGAGGCCACCGAAGGGUCCCGUUUACUGAGGAAGUUCGCACUCCUGUGGGGCCGUGUAGCAACCCCAGAUGCUUUCAACACGGAUCGAACAGUGAGGGCAGUAACAUUUACAGUGUGCAGAAGUACUGCAACUUCAUCUCUUCAACAAUCAGAGUGGUGUCUUUCUCAUGCACCCCGGGGUCAGCAUUUGGCAGCUUCAGAGCCCAGCCCUUCAGCACCACCGAUCUUACCACUUUUCGCCAGACAGACCGGAGGAAUUUCUUCAGCCAUAUCCUGCUCAUAACCAACUCAGUUUUCUUUUCUUUUUCUUUCUUUUUUUUGGGGGGGG
This 411-nucleotide long non-coding RNA is filed under the name Heterocephalus glaber (naked mole-rat). Its description in RNAcentral is "lncRNA (ENSHGLG00100047942.1)". The record is from RNAcentral. Lineage: Eukaryota; Metazoa; Chordata; Mammalia; Rodentia; Bathyergidae.